GAAAGUCACUUGCAAGCUAACAUUACAGCCGCCAGAAACAAACACAGUGCAGACUUAGCCAAUAAGCUAACCAACUUGUUUGCAGAUAAACUGUCCUUGUAGCAGGGACAACAGAAACAAGCAUCAUUCUCUGUUCUUGAAUCUGAAUCAACUCGACCCCAAAAAUAAGUGAGAAAAAGACUGCUCAUGACCAAUACAGAAACCGUAUAAACAUUGGAAUUAAUUUUGAAUGGUGGAAGAAUGAUGCCAAAAUGGCCACUGUUCUAAUGGACUGGUAGUUCCCAGUUGUCUUGUAAGCACCAUGAAUCCAGAGAAUGCCAGACUUUGAUGACAAAGUUUGAUGACAAAAUUUGCCCACGAAGGACCGCCGCUCCACCUUCUGGUUCAAGUGAACGCAGCACAACAAGGAAACUAGGCGUAUGUCGCAGGUCACUACUUCACAGGAGAGCCAUUUGAACGUAAGUUUUUUUUAUCAAAAUGCGUUUUUUUUUUCUUCAGAAAUGCCUUCUGGAACAUGUGAACUUUCAUGUGCC
Molecule: long non-coding RNA, 533 nt
Filed under: Salmo salar (Atlantic salmon)
Lineage: Eukaryota; Metazoa; Chordata; Actinopteri; Salmoniformes; Salmonidae
Description: lncRNA (ENSSSAG00000113365.1)
Source: RNAcentral